This 344-nucleotide unclassified non-coding RNA is filed under the name soil metagenome. RNAcentral's name for it is "partial contains 5.8S ribosomal RNA, internal transcribed spacer 2, and large subunit ribosomal RNA". The stretch from base 1 to 119 matches the Rfam family "5.8S ribosomal RNA", at positions 35 to 154 of the family's 154-position model. The record is from RNAcentral.
GAUGAAGAACGUAGCGAAAUGCGAUACGUAAUGUGAAUUGCAAAUUCAGUGAAUCAUCGAGUCUUUGAACGCACAUUGCGCCCCCUGGUAUUCCGGGGGGCAUGCCUGUCCGAGCGUCAUUGCUGCCCUCAAGCACGGCUUGUGUGUUGGGCCCCGUCCUCCGAUCCCGGGGGACGGGCCCGAAAGGCAGCGGCGGCACCGCGUCCGGUCCUCGAGCGUAUGGGGCUUUGUCACCCGCUCUGUAGGCCCGGCCGGCGCUUGCCGAUCAACCCAAAUUUUUAUCCAGGUUGACCUCGGAUCAGGUAGGGAUACCCGCUGAACUUAUGCAUAUCAAUAAGGGAGGA